Molecule: non-coding RNA, 2005 nt
Organism: Vicugna pacos (alpaca)
Lineage: Eukaryota; Metazoa; Chordata; Mammalia; Artiodactyla; Camelidae
Source: RefSeq, a predicted model, not a curated record
GCGCUCUGCGCCGUGCGGCCCGCCCUUUUCCGGGGCUCUCACCCCCCCCUACGCCCCCACGCGCCUGCGCACGCGCUCCUGGACCGGAACUGGCCAAGCCAGAGUGACCAUAAGUAGUUAUUUUUACAGAAAGGAGCACCCCACCACGUGGAAACUGCUGACCACAAACACAUAGACCUAGGCUGGAGCCAGAGAGUUGAAUGAGAUUCCUGAAACUUCACCAUAUCACCACCACAUCACUAACCAAUCAGAAGAAUGUCCAGAAGCUGAUCAGGCACCCUGUGACUCUGACUCCUACUGUCUCUCUGAAAGCCAUUGGGGAAUUUGGAUCUUUUGAGAACUAGCUGCCCAUUCUGUUUGCUUGGUGCCCUGCAAUAUACACUGUACUUACCUUCACCGCAAGCUUGCCAGCUUCAAAAACUAAGAAAAUUAAUUCCCCCAAUAUCUAUCCUGACCAAAGAUCCCCAAGUGGGAGAGAGGGAGGUUCUCUGCUUUCCAGAUUCCACAUUGAAGCAGCUGUGGCAUCACAGUUCUCCAGCAAAACCCUCUUGUGCCUCCCCUCUGUGUUUCUGAGUGUCUGCUGGGAAAACACUUCCUUCCCUCUUUGCUGGGCUAUUUAAAGAAUCAGUUCAGAUACAACUGAAGCCUUCCUUUAUGUAUCAUAAAUCCUCUCUUUAGAGGUUCCGUGUUCCUCAGAGCUCUCAUUACACCCUGUGUGGACCUCUAACAUGGCCCUUACCAUAUGACAUUUAAAUUAUCGGUAGAUUUGUUUCCCUAACCUGACCAUGAGCUUUUCAAGGACAGGGCAGGGUCUAAGGGCAAGGACCAUAUCUUGGUCAUUUUUGAAUUCACAGUGUACGGCAGUGCCGAGGGUCCUCAGUAUAUACCACUUACUGAACUGAACUGAACACUAAUGGAAAGAACAAUGGCGGAUUAGUCAGCUCAGGCUACCAUAACAAAAUCCCACAGACUGGGUGGCUUAAACAACAGAAAUUUAUUUUCUUGAGGCUGGAAAUCCAAAAUCAAGGUGCCAAACAGGUUGGUUUCUACUGAAGCUUCUCUCCCUGGCUUGCAGUUGGUUACCUUCUGAUUGUGUCCUCACAUGGCCUUUUCCUCUGUGCUCCCGUGGAGAGGGAGAGCUGGUAUCUCAAUCUCCCACCCUCAUCUAUUAGCAUGCAGUAAAUAAUCACAAAUACUCAUUUCUAUCUCUAGACUCCCUGGUCUGUUCCAUAAAUUUGUCUGUCCGUUUAAUGUACCACACUGUUACAAUUACUGUAGCUUUAUAUUUGGUUUCAUUAUCUAGCAGAGUUAGUCCCACCUACUGCCUGCUUCUUCAGAAAUCCCACCUUACCUCUUGGCUCUCUUAGAUUGUUCAUUUCUCAUGUAAGCUUUAGAACUAGCUUAUCUAAUGCCAUACCCUUUUCCACCAAAUCUCAUUGGUGAUUUUAUUAAUCAUGUUAAAUUUAUAAACAAAAAUAACAAGAAAAGAGAAAAAACUAAAAAUAAAAAAAGAAGGAAAAAACAAAAAAUAAGAACAAAAAAUGAAAAAAAUGUAUAGAUUAGCUUAAGGGCAUUUACAUUUUAUGAUGUUUAACUCUUCCUAUCCAAGUUCAUAAUAAGCUGUUAUGUUUGUUCAAGUUUAUUUUAUGUCCUUCAGCAAUAUUGUAAAGUUUUCCUCAGUAAGUAUUUUAACUCGUUAUAUUUUAACUAGGUUUUUUUCUUCUUUGUUUCUAAUGUAAAUAGGAUUUCCCCAUCUCCAUAUCUAUUAACUGCUUGUUUGUGUAUAUGAAGAUUUUUUUGUUCCAUGUAUUUAUUUUGUACCCAUACAACUUAUGUAAUUCUCUUGUUUGUAAUAUAAUUAAUUUGGGUUCUCUACAUGUGUAAUCAUAUUGCCUGCAUACAAUAUCUUUACCUCCUUUCCAAUUUUAUAUCUAUAAAUUUCCUUUUGAACACUUGCUUGGGCUAAUACCUUAAGAACAAUAUUAAAUGGUAAUAAUGAUGGUGA